GGCUCAGGACGAACGCUGGCGGCGUGCUUAACACAUGCAAGUCGAACGGAAAGGCCCUGCUUGCAGGGUACUCGAGUGGCGAACGGGUGAGUAACACGUGGGUGAUCUGCCCUGCACUUCGGGAUAAGCCUGGGAAACUGGGUCUAAUACCGGAUAGGAGCCAUUUUUAGUGUGAUGGUUGGAAAGUUUUUUCGGUGUAGGAUGAGCUCGCGGCCUAUCAGCUUGUUGGUGGGGUAAUGGCCUACCAAGGCGGCGACGGGUAGCCGGCCUGAGAGGGUGGACGGCCACAUUGGGACUGAGAUACGGCCCAGACUCCUACGGGAGGCAGCAGUGGGGAAUAUUGCACAAUGGGCGCAAGCCUGAUGCAGCGACGCCGCGUGGGGGAUGACGGCCUUCGGGUUGUAAACUCCUUUCGCUAGGGACGAAGCUUUUUGU
RNAcentral lists this ribosomal RNA (435 nucleotides) under Corynebacterium sp. R-45865. RNAcentral describes it as "bacterial SSU rRNA". It matches the Rfam family "Bacterial small subunit ribosomal RNA", at positions 21 to 458 of the family's 1533-position model. The record is from RNAcentral. Lineage: Bacteria; Bacillati; Actinomycetota; Actinomycetes; Mycobacteriales; Corynebacteriaceae.